AGAACUGAGAAGGUUUAUAGUCCUGUGACUUCAACACUGCAGGACUCACAUCUGUCAGUCAACACAGCAGAAAGCACAACCACCAUGACUCUCAUCACCAUCCUCAUCUGGACGCUGACCUGCUGCUGUUUUACAGGAGGCAGCGGUCAGGUGACUGUGACUCAACCUCCAGUAGAGACAUUUACUCCUGGAUCCACUGUCACUCUGACCUGCAACACCAAUCCAAAAGUUUAUACUUGGACAGAUGGAGCUAGUAAAGUACACUGGUAUCAGCAGAAAUCUGGGCAAGCUCCAAAAUGUCUGAUUUACAAUGGUAUACACAAACCAUCCAGUGGUGGAGUUCCAGCUCGAUUCAGUGGAAGAGGGAACGGUAUUGAUGCUGCUCUGACCAUCAGUGGAGCUCAGGCUGAAGAUGCAGCAGUUUACUACUGUCAGAGUUUCCAUGAAAUAAACAGUGCUUAUAUGUUUGCACAGUGAUUUGUAGUCGUACAAAAACCUCCCUCAGUCAGACUGCAGAGACACUGAGCUGUUACAGCAGGAACUGACUGCAGCUGCUGAAGGGGAAGAAACUAUGUCACAGACCACUGAACACAGAGCUGAUGAGUG
Neolamprologus brichardi is the source of this 606-nucleotide non-coding RNA. NCBI's taxonomy places the organism in Eukaryota, Metazoa, Chordata, Actinopteri, Cichliformes, Cichlidae. The record is from the annotation of a RefSeq genome assembly.